GAUGAACGCUGGCGGCGUGCCUAAUACAUGCAAGUCGAGCGAACAGAUGAGGAGCUUGCUCCUCUGACGUUAGCGGCGGACGGGUGAGUAACACGUGGAUAACCUACCUAUAAGACUGGGAUAACUUCGGGAAACCGGAGCUAAUACCGGAUAAUAUAUUGAACCGCAUGGUUCAAUAGUGAAAGACGGUUUUGCUGUCACUUAUAGAUGGAUCCGCGCCGCAUUAGCUAGUUGGUAAGGUAACGGCUUACCAAGGCAACGAUGCGUAGCCGACCUGAGAGGGUGAUCGGCCACACUGAAACUGAGACACGGUCCAGACUCCUACGGGAGGCAGCAGUAGGGAAUCUUCCGCAAUGGGCGAAAGCCUGACGGAGCAACGCCGCGUGAGUGAUGAAGGUCUUCGGAUCGUAAAACUCUGUUAUUAGGGAAGAACAAAUGUGUAAGUAACUAUGCACGUCUUGACGGUACCUAAGCAGAAAGCCACGGCUAACUACGU
RNAcentral lists this ribosomal RNA (496 nucleotides) under uncultured bacterium. RNAcentral describes it as "partial 16S ribosomal RNA". It matches the Rfam family "Bacterial small subunit ribosomal RNA", at positions 28 to 506 of the family's 1533-position model. The record is from RNAcentral.